Molecule: ribosomal RNA, 813 nt
Filed under: uncultured bacterium
Lineage: Bacteria
Description: bacterial SSU rRNA
Rfam family: Bacterial small subunit ribosomal RNA
Source: RNAcentral
AGAGUUCUUUCCUGGCUCAGGAUGAACGCUAGCUACAGGCUUAACACAUGCAAGUCGAGGGGCAGCAUCAUCAAAGCUUGCUUUGAUGGAUGGCGACCGGCGCACGGGUGAGUAACACGUAUCCAACCUGCCGACAACACUGGGAUAGCCUUUCGAAAGAAAGAUUAAUACCGGAUGGUAUAGUUUUCCCGCAUGGGGUGACUAUUAAAGAAUUUCGGUUGUCGAUGGGGAUGCGUUCCAUUAGGCAGUUGGCGGGGUAACGGCCCACCAAACCAACGAUGGAUAGGGGUUCUGAGAGGAAGGUCCCCCACAUUGGAACUGAGACACGGUCCAAACUCCUACGGGAGGCAGCAGUGAGGAAUAUUGGUCAAUGGACGAGAGUCUGAACCAGCCAAGUAGCGUGAAGGAUGACUGCCCUAUGGGUUGUAAACUUCUUUUAUACGGGAAUAAAGUGAGCCACGUGUGGCUUUUUGUAUGUACCGUAUGAAUAAGGAUCGGCUAACUCCGUGCCAGCAGCCGCGGUAAUACGGAGGAUCCGAGCGUUAUCCGGAUUUAUUGGGUUUAAAGGGAGCGUAGGCGGGUUGUUAAGUCAGUUGUGAAAGUUUGCGGCUCAACCGUAAAAUUGCAGUUGAUACUGGCGACCUUGAGCGCAACAGAGGUAGGCGGAAUUCGUGGUGUAGCGGUGAAAUGCUUAGAUAUCACGAAGAACUCCGAUUGCGAAGGCAGCUUACUGGAUUGUAACUGACGCUGAUGCUCGAAAGUGUGGGUAUCAAACAGGAUUAGAUACCCUGGUAGUCCACACAGUAAACGAUG